GAUGAACGCUGGCGGCGUGCCUAAUACAUGCAAGUCGAGCGAACAGAUAAGGAGCUUGCUCCCUUGACGUAAGCGGCGGACGGGUGAGUAACACGUGGGUAACCUACCUAUAAGACUGGAAUAACUCCGGGAAACCGGGGCUAAUGCCGGAUAACAUUUAGAACCGCAUGGUUCUAAAGUGAAAGAUGGUUUUGCUAUCACUUAUAGAUGGACCCGCGCCGUAUUAGCUAGUUGGUAAGGUAACGGCUUACCAAGGCAACGAUACGUAGCCGACCUGAGAGGGUGAUCGGCCACACUGGAACUGAGACACGGUCCAGACUCCUACGGGAGGCAGCAGUAGGGAAUCUUCCGCAAUGGGCGAAAGCCUGACGGAGCAACGCCGCGUGAGUGAUGAAGGUCUUCGGAUCGUAAAACUCUGUUAUUAGGGAAGAACAAAUGUGUAAGUAACUGUGCACGUCUUGACGGUACCUAAUCAGAAAGCCACGGCUAACUACGUG
Molecule: ribosomal RNA, 497 nt
Filed under: uncultured bacterium
Lineage: Bacteria
Description: partial 16S ribosomal RNA
Rfam family: Bacterial small subunit ribosomal RNA
Source: RNAcentral